RNAcentral lists this ribosomal RNA (465 nucleotides) under uncultured Klebsiella sp. RNAcentral describes it as "bacterial SSU rRNA". It matches the Rfam family "Bacterial small subunit ribosomal RNA", at positions 338 to 795 of the family's 1533-position model. Lineage: Bacteria; Pseudomonadati; Pseudomonadota; Gammaproteobacteria; Enterobacterales; Enterobacteriaceae. The record is from RNAcentral.
CCUACGGGAGGCUGCAGUGGGGAAUAUUGCACAAUGGGCGCAAGCCUGAUGCAGCCAUGCCGCGUGUGUGAAGAAGGCCUUCGGGUUGUAAAGCACUUUCAGCGGGGAGGAAGGCGUUAAGGUUAAUAACCUUGGCGAUUGACGUUACCCGCAGAAGAAGCACCGGCUAACUCCGUGCCAGCAGCCGCGGUAAUACGGAGGGUGCAAGCGUUAAUCGGAAUUACUGGGCGUAAAGCGCACGCAGGCGGUCUGUCAAGUCGGAUGUGAAAUCCCCGGGCUCAACCUGGGAACUGCAUUCGGAACUGGCAGGCUAGAGUCUUGUAGAGGGGGGUAGAAUUCCAGGUGUAGCGGUGAAAUGCGUAGAGAUCUGGAGGAAUACCGGUGGCGAAGGCGGCCCCCUGGACAAAGACUGACGCUCGGGUGCGAAAGCGUGGGGAGCAAACAGGAUUAGAUACCCCAGUAGUC